AGAGUUUGAUUAUGGCUCAGGACGAACGCUGGCGGCGUGCUUAACACAUGCAAGUCGAACGAGGAUAUACCAGAGGAGAGCUUCGGCAGGAAUCGGGUAUAUUCGAGUGGCGGACGGGUGAGUAACGCGUGAGCAACCUGUCCCAGACAGGGGGAUAACACUUGGAAACAGGUGCUAAUACCGCAUAAGACCACGGUAUCACAUGGUAGUGGGGUAAAAGGAGCAAUCCGGUUUGGGGUGGGCUCGCGUCCGAUUAGAUAGUUGGUGAGGUAACGGCCCACCAAGUCGACGAUCGGUAGCCGACCUGAGAGGGUGAUCGGCCACAUUGGAACUGAGAGACGGUCCAAACUCCUACGGGAGGCAGCAGUGGGGAAUAUUGGGCAAUGGGCGAAAGCCUGACCCAGCAACGCCGCGUGAGUGAAGAAGGCCUUCGGGUUGCAAAGCUCUGUUAUAGUUGACGAAGGAAGUGACGGUAGGCUAUAAGGAAGCCCCGGCUAACUACGUGCCAGCCGCCGC
RNAcentral lists this ribosomal RNA (516 nucleotides) under uncultured bacterium. RNAcentral's name for it is "bacterial SSU rRNA". It matches the Rfam family "Bacterial small subunit ribosomal RNA", at positions 8 to 518 of the family's 1533-position model. The record is from RNAcentral.